Molecule: transfer RNA, 85 nt
Filed under: Mycobacterium phage ToneTone
Lineage: Duplodnaviria; Heunggongvirae; Uroviricota; Caudoviricetes
Description: tRNA-Trp
Rfam family: tRNA (bases 12-84)
About the family: Transfer RNA (tRNA) molecules are approximately 80 nucleotides in length. Their secondary structure includes four short double-helical elements and three loops (D, anti-codon, and T loops).
Source: RNAcentral
UGUCAGCUCAUGCGCUCCUAGCUCAAUUGGUAGAGCAGCGGUCUCCAAAGCCGCGAGUUCCAGGUUCGAGUCCUGGGGAGCGUGC